Chinchilla lanigera (long-tailed chinchilla) is the source of this 2269-nucleotide long non-coding RNA. NCBI's taxonomy places the organism in Eukaryota, Metazoa, Chordata, Mammalia, Rodentia, Chinchillidae. The record is from Ensembl.
UGGCAGGAUGGCCCCCCAGAAAGGGUAGAAUUAGGAAACCCCUUGGGCCAAUCAGAAUCCAGAGAGCCUGCUGGCUGCAGGCACAGGUGUUCUGACUGUGCUUGCUAGGACUGAAUGUUGAGCCACAUUCCCUGGAAGACAAUACCAGGAGUGCAGCUAAGAGCCUGCUGGGGAACGUCCUGGGGCUGGAGAUGGGAAGGAGGGGCCUGAUUUUGACAGAGGAGGCAUGGAAAACCUGGAGAUCCAUUGAUACAAGGGAAACAGGGGUAGCUAGUGCUUUGUUUUCUUUUUCUCUUAAGACAAGGUAUCACUAUGUUGUGUACAUUAGCCUGAAGGCUGUGGUUCUCCUACCUCAGUCUCUCAAAGCUAGUUUAUAGGAGUGUGCAGCAUGCCUAACAAGAGAUACGGGUAUUUUUUGGUCUUUUUUCAGACAAGGCCUUGCUAUGCAGUUCAGGCUGGCUCUGAGCUCACUUUGUAGCCCAGGCUAGUCUCAAACCCGGAAGGAUCCUCCUGCCUCAGCCUCUCAAGUACUGCGAUUCUAGGUGUGUGGCACCACGCCCAGCAAGAGAUAAGUUUUAAUGAGUGCCUUCAUAAAGAUGAUAUAGAAUACAACACUAGGCUGGUAUACACAGAAUGCUUGAAAAAAAUGUUCAUAAACACAGUCACAAUGCCAGCAGCAUCAUUUUUUCAUCCAAGCUUCUGCACAUCAUAGAUUCUAAGCUCACAAAUUCCUCCUAUCUCAAUCUUACUCUAAGGUAUUGUUGUGCUAUCUCCUUGUUUGUGCUUUGCCUACCAAGGCUCUUGAAGUCCCUGCCUGCUGCUCUGUCCCUUGCAGGAGGGAGCUGUCCUACUUUGGGGUGAAGGUGGCUAUUAUUGAGCCUGGUUUCUUCAAAACCAACGUGACCAGUAGUGAAAGACUCAUGUCAAGUUUUAAGAAGGCGUGGGACCAGAGCAGCUCAGAGGUCAAGGAGAUCUAUGGCGAGAAGUUUCUGGAAACCUGUCUGAAAUCAUUGAAAGUAAUGGAGCAACAGUGCAAUCCAGACCUGUCGGUGGUGACAGACUGCAUGGAGCAUGCGCUGACUGCCUGUCACCCUCGCACCCGGUACUCAGCAGGCUGGGAUGCCAAGCUCCUUUACCUCCCCUUGAGCUACCUGCCCACAUUCCUGGUGGAUGCCUUUGUGUACCUGGGCUCCCCAAAGCCAGCACAAGCCCUGUGAAGCCAACUCUUGGUUGUGUGAUCAGGGGAGAUGGGCAGAGUGUGGGUUGGGACAUAUGAGCAAAGGGAAAUGGGUGGAGGAAAGCAGCUCUUACAUGGGGCACCAUUCCCAUCUUCUUUGUGCCAAGAAUUCUUCUCAGGGAUCACUCAAGACUGGUGAAGUGAGAGGGAAAGAGUCAAGGACCUCUGGUGAGGAAUAGGGACUCAACAUCACUCACUGAUGCCCAGUUGACAGAGCUGAUGGCUCUGAGCAAUAUGGCCAACCAUGAGGAAUUUGCAUGCCUGGGAUGGCUGAAAGUGUGUGGGUGGAUGCAAAGCCCACGCCUCACUUCUUCUUUCCUUCCUCUUGAGUGUAUGCAUUGUCCUUGGAUGCUGUCUAUCUUCCCACAACAUAGAAAUUGUCUGGGACAUGUAGGGUCCCUCUCUUUUGCAAUCCCUGUGUAGGUGGAAUCAGGUGGGAGGGCAGCACCAGUCUGUGUCCUUGGCAUUUAUUGGUUUGUCCUAGAUCUGUCCUCCACAUAGAUCCUGUGAGAGGAUGAACAAAUUGUCAUCGUUUGUGUCUAGAUAUCCUCCCAGUGCUCCAUGAGAUCAUAGGUGCGGCUGCUUCAGAGGUGCCUGAAUCUAGAGUAUGUGAUGCUGAAGUUAAGGGUGUGCAAUUACUAAAUGAGUCCAUUGAUUACUUUGGCAUUGCCUUAUUCCAGGUAGCUUAGACAGAGUGUAAAGGAGUCAGAAAGCAGCUGCUAAGGUCCUUUGUUUUGGUACCUUCUGCCUGUUAUGAAGUGUUUUCCCUCUGCAAUGCCUGUCUUCCAUGUCAUCCUACCUUGGAGAAGCUGUUCAUGGACUGAAAUGAUUUCAAACUGUGAACUAAAUAAACUUUUACUGACUUGACUUUGGGUGUUGAGUCAUUUUUCUGAGGAACAGUAAAAAGAAGACACAAACCAAUUUCUUUGUCUUGAAAUCAUGGCUUAUUUUGAUACUUUUGUUAUCAAAUAAAUAGAAUCUUGGGAAUGGAAAAGAGGACCAUGCCCAGUGAUGUGAAACAUUGUUGGAGAA